AUACGUAGGGUGCAAGCGUUAAUCGGAAUUACUGGGCGUAAAGCGUGCGCAGGCGGUUUUGUAAGACAGAGGUGAAAUCCCCGGGCUCAACCUGGGAACUGCCUUUGUGACUGCAAGGCUAGCGUACGGCAGAGGGGGAUGGCAUUCCGCGUGAAGCCGUGAAAUGCGUAGAUAUGCGGGGGAACACCGAUGGCGAAGGCAAUCCCCUGGGCCUGUACUGACGCACAUGCACGAAAGCGAGGGGAGCAAACAGGAUGAGAUGCCCUGGUAGUCCACGCCCUAAACGAUGUCAGCUGGUUGUUGGGUCUUCAUUGACUCAGUAACGAAGCUAACGCGUGAAGUUGACCGCCUGGGGAGUACGGCCGCAAGGUUGAAACUCAAAUGAAGUGACGGGG
RNAcentral lists this ribosomal RNA (395 nucleotides) under uncultured bacterium. RNAcentral describes it as "partial 16S ribosomal RNA". It matches the Rfam family "Bacterial small subunit ribosomal RNA", at positions 523 to 918 of the family's 1533-position model. The record is from RNAcentral.